RNAcentral lists this long non-coding RNA (242 nucleotides) under Elaeis guineensis (African oil palm). RNAcentral describes it as "long non-coding RNA (EGUI_LNC078199)". The record is from RNAcentral. Lineage: Eukaryota; Viridiplantae; Streptophyta; Magnoliopsida; Arecales; Arecaceae.
CGGCAAUACAAAGGAUUUUGUUUCCAGAGAUCUGUGGACGUGUCAGGAUGGUGGCUCGUGGGGAGCUAUUUCAUGUCACAACACGACCCAGAUUUCUGGACCUGGAAAAACGGAAAAUCUUGAGCACUAGGUUGAUGAAUUCUUGUAUCCCAGUUGGGAAUCGGGAAGGAAAGUAGUGAGAAAAUGACCAUUCCCAAGCUUCGGCGGUUUCCUCGUGGUUUUCGAAAAAUUACAGGAAUGUU